This 253-nucleotide ribosomal RNA is filed under the name uncultured bacterium. Its description in RNAcentral is "partial 16S ribosomal RNA". It matches the Rfam family "Bacterial small subunit ribosomal RNA", at positions 524 to 776 of the family's 1533-position model. The record is from RNAcentral.
UACGUAGGGUGCGAGCGUUGUCCGGAAUUAUUGGGCGUAAAGAGCUUGUAGGUGGCUCGUUGCGUCGGGAGUGAAAACCUGCGGCUUAACCGCAGGCCUGCUUCCGAUACGGGCGAGCUAGAGUUCGGCAGGGGAGACUGGAAUUCCUGGUGUAGCGGUGAAAUGCGCAGAUAUCAGGAGGAACACCGGUGGCGAAGGCGGGUCUCUGGGCAGUAACUGACGCUGAGGAGCGAAAGCGUGGGGAGCGAACAGG